AGUAGGUCGGAGCUCGGAUGCGGGUCUGGUCGGGUCCACUCCCAACCGAACCCAUCCCGUGCCAUCCCAUCCUAUCGAUUGCAUCCGGCACACCGGUGCGGAUUCGUGGGUCGUGUCCCGGCGAUUAUCACCGUGAUCUGUUGGGCGUGAAACCGAAGAAAACCCUUUGAGCGUGGAAAAAUGUGAGGAAAGUUGCGCCGGCGCAAGGGAAAUCCUUCAAACGUGUGUUUAACCACAAAAGCGACGUGAGUUUAACCAACAUAAUCGACGGUUGGGCGCCCGGAAAAGCCACCACCCGCCUCCUCAUCGUUCCCCGAAAGAGUUGUGAUCCGUCGGCGUGACCUGUGUGACACUUUCAUUUGCCGGGUUAACGCCCCCUCAAAGUCCGGACAGUAUCGAAACCGAAAAUUUAACGCUUGCUUAGCGCCUGAGAUCGCCAGAUGCCCAGAUGUCCGCGGCUCGGUCAUCAUCGAUGAAAACCACAUGGGCCGAACGAACGCCCCUCAUAAUGAGCGCAACGGAUCCGAGCACUCGAUUCUGGACCUAGCCACAAUGGAUUUUCAAUCGCUGUCGGAAUAUGCAUGGGAAUCUGGCCAUGGACAACUUGAUUUUGUGUGUACUUUUUUGCGGUCGCUGGUAGUCGACAGUCAACCAACCACAAUAACAGCGACCACAACAACACCAAUCGAGCAACAGUAGAGGCCGCCCCAGCUACAACAACAACACGUUCCGGCAUGGCCUCUACCUCGGCCUGCCCCCACCCACCCCUUCUUCAACUUUCCGCGCCUGUUGUUGCUGCUGAUGUAGUGAGAGGCGGAGCAACGCAGCACAAAGCGGAGGCAGUAAGUGCGAUAAGGCAGGCAUUAGGCGCAAGCACAAGCGAAUAGUAAGCGAAGGAAGAGAGGAGCCAAAGAGAGGGAUCCACAAAAAGAGAAAGAGUGAGUAGGCGAGUGCGGGAGCGUGGAGCUCGCAUCGAAUAUUUCGAAAUAUUUAAAGCUGUACACGAGACGAAAAUAUUCAUGUUUUCGAAAUGAAUUUGAUCCUUGUUGAAAUCUUGAAAAUCUAAAAACUAUGUCAUAAAUUUAGUCAUAUGUGUAUUUAAUGUAUAUUUAAUGUGUAUAUAUAAUUUAUGAAAUAAAAGAUCUAAUUUCCU
This is a non-coding RNA of Drosophila melanogaster (fruit fly), 1153 nucleotides long. The record is from Ensembl. Lineage: Eukaryota; Metazoa; Arthropoda; Insecta; Diptera; Drosophilidae.